CUACGGGGUGCACCAGUGAGGAAUAUUGCACAAUGGGGGGAACCCUGAUGCAGCAACGCCGCGUGGAGGAUGACGCAUUUCGGUGUGUAAACUCCUUUUAUAUGUCAAGAAAAUGACGGUAGCAUAUGAAUAAGCACCGGCUAACUCCGUGCCAGCAGCCGCGGUAAUACGGAGGGUGCAAGCGUUACUCGGAAUCACUGGGCGUAAAGGACGCGUAGGCGGGCUUGUAAGUCAGGUGUGAAAUCCUACAGCUUAACUGUAGAACUGCACUUGAAACUACGAGCCUAGAGUAUGGGAGGGGGAGAUGGAAUUAGUGGUGUAGGGGUAAAAUCCGUAGAUAUCACUAGGAAUACCUAAAGCGAAGGCGAUCUCCUGGAACAUAACUGACGCUAAGGCGUGAAAGCGUGGGGAGCAAACAGGAUUAGAUACCCGCGUAGUC
RNAcentral lists this ribosomal RNA (439 nucleotides) under uncultured bacterium. Its description in RNAcentral is "partial 16S ribosomal RNA". It matches the Rfam family "Bacterial small subunit ribosomal RNA", at positions 339 to 795 of the family's 1533-position model. The record is from RNAcentral.